AUGAAUAAUCUAAGAUGUCAGUUACGACAUUACGAGAAUGUUGUACCCACAAGCCCAAAGUUUCAGAAUUUGACAACCAUAUCAGAACUUUGUCAACGACUUGCAUCUAGUGGAAAAUCAGAUGAAUAUUACUUGAUUGACAGACUCAUUCGGCUUGUUCUUACUUUACCAGUUUCAACGGCAACGAUAGAACGUGCAUUUUCUGCCAUGAAACUUGUGAAGACAAGGCUUCGGAAUAAAAUGGAAGAUGGAUUUCUAAGGGACUGCUUGCUAAUUUAUAUUGAAAAGGAGAUUGUUGUUGGAGUAUCAGCAGAUGCAAUUAUAGAUGAGUUCGAUGAACCACCACGUUGUGUGCCAUUUAGUUGA
This 366-nucleotide ribosomal RNA is filed under the name Triticum aestivum (bread wheat). Its description in RNAcentral is "partial small subunit ribosomal RNA". Lineage: Eukaryota; Viridiplantae; Streptophyta; Magnoliopsida; Poales; Poaceae. The record is from RNAcentral.